CACCAGACGCAUUCUUGAUUUGGGUCACCCACGAACAGAGUCAGACACCCAAACCUUUCUUUCUCUAGCAGCUGACCAAACGCAAAAUCCCGAGCACGGACAGUUUGCUUCGCGGGCGCACUGUGAAAUUUUCUGCGGGAAACGAAGCUGCGAGCUAGUGCGGCAGUGCGGGUUCCUCGAUGGCGUGUUUAUUUUGCUGCCCUGGCUACGUGAAGGGACUCAAGGGCACGACGGCGGCCUGCUCUGGCUCCAGGAUCCGGAGCGACGCGAGCGCCCCGACCGCCUCCUCGCGCGCCGUUGAGCACGCAUCGACACUUCAGACUGCGCCGCGGUGGCGUCGGACAGCAGCGCGGCCACCUCAGCACCGGGCACGGACCCCGCAUCGCAGCAAGGUCCUCGUCAACCUCCGUCUCGGUAGCCGGUGUUGGAGCAGAAGGAAAGAAGACAACAAAGAUUGAGCAAAUAUAAGAGUCUGGCUUCGCCCAAAGUUUCAAAGUUCAAGAUGAAAGUCAAUUAAGGCAAAAAAAAAUGAAAAUAGAAUGAAGACUGAUGAACAAAAGAUGAAGAAUGAAGAUUCAGAAGGAGAAAAAGACCACUUCGCCCUUGUAAGUGAAAAGGGUUGUAAUUAUUCGAGUUAGGGGUAAAAUGGUCAUUUUAUGUAAAACACGAAGAUUGAGGACCUAUAAAUACCCUCUCUGACAUGUACAGUAUAAUCAUGAAAUGAAUAUGACUUUAUCUUGUGUUC
Molecule: long non-coding RNA, 745 nt
Organism: Sorghum bicolor (sorghum)
Lineage: Eukaryota; Viridiplantae; Streptophyta; Magnoliopsida; Poales; Poaceae
Exons: 2
Source: RefSeq, a predicted model, not a curated record